AACCAGCACCUCAAGUGGUCAGGAGGAUUAUUGGGCCUAAAGCAUCCGUAGCCGGCUCUGUAAGUUUUCGGUUAAAUCUAUAUGCUCAACGUAUAGGCUGCCGAAAAUACUGCACAGCUAGGGAAUGGGAGAGGUAGACGGUACUCGGUAGGAAGGGGUAAAAUCCUUUGAUCUAUCGAUGACCACCUGUGGCGAAGGCGGUCUACCAGAACACGUUCGACGGUGAGGGAUGAAAGCUGGGGGAGCAAACCGG
Molecule: ribosomal RNA, 253 nt
Filed under: uncultured archaeon
Lineage: Archaea
Description: partial 16S ribosomal RNA
Rfam family: Archaeal small subunit ribosomal RNA
Source: RNAcentral